CCCCUGUCGGAUAGGAAAUCCCAAGUAAGGUACCUGCCAUCGGCAGAUUUGAGCUUUCUUCUUGGACACCUGAUACCCACAGUCCUCCAGGCUCCGGUAGAUUGCAAAUAACCUGCUUUCUUUCUGUUCCCGGGCUGCCUUCGGAACCCUGUGGGAGAGUAAAUCCCUAGUAAGGUACCUGCCGUUGACAGAUUUGAGCUUUCUUCUUGGACACCUAAUACCCACAGUCCUCCAGGUGUGAAAGAAAUACUCAAGUGACUGUGUUGCUGGUGGGAAAAAGCGUAUCAUUUCCUGGGGUCUUCAGGGUGCUGUUAACUGUC
This 320-nucleotide long non-coding RNA is filed under the name Homo sapiens (human). RNAcentral describes it as "HSALNT0374310". The record is from RNAcentral. Lineage: Eukaryota; Metazoa; Chordata; Mammalia; Primates; Hominidae.